This 376-nucleotide ribosomal RNA is filed under the name uncultured bacterium. Its description in RNAcentral is "bacterial SSU rRNA". It matches the Rfam family "Bacterial small subunit ribosomal RNA", at positions 362 to 757 of the family's 1533-position model. The record is from RNAcentral.
UAUUGGACAAUGGGCGAAAGCCUGAUCCAGCAAUGCCGCGUGAGUGAUGAAGGCCCUAGGGUUGUAAAGCUCUUUUACCCGGGAAGAUAAUGACUGUACCGGGAGAAUAAGCCCCGGCUAACUCCGUGCCAGCAGCCGCGGUAAUACGGAGGGGGCUAGCGUUGUUCGGAAUUACUGGGCGUAAAGCGCGCGUAGGCGGCUUUGUAAGUCAGAGGUGAAAGCCUGGAGCUCAACUCCAGAACUGCCUUUGAGACUGCAUCGCUUGAAUCCAGGAGAGGUCAGUGGAAUUCCGAGUGUAGAGGUGAAAUUCGUAGAUAUUCGGAAGAACACCAGUGGCGAAGGCGGCUGACUGGACUGGUAUGACGCUGAGUGCGAA